GGCGGGGAGGUAGACGGACCAAACCCUCGAGUGUUCGCACUCGUCCGGCGACCGGAGGGCUACGCAGCACGCGGACGGAUGACCGUUUCUAACUCAUAACCCGAAGGUCGCAGGUUCAAAUCCUGCCCCCGCCACCA
This 137-nucleotide transfer RNA is filed under the name Candidatus Neomicrothrix parvicella. RNAcentral describes it as "tRNA-OTHER". RNAcentral also lists the same sequence under 1 other name. The record is from RNAcentral. Lineage: Bacteria; Bacillati; Actinomycetota; Acidimicrobiia; Acidimicrobiales; Microthrixaceae.